This 468-nucleotide ribosomal RNA is filed under the name uncultured bacterium. Its description in RNAcentral is "partial 16S ribosomal RNA". It matches the Rfam family "Bacterial small subunit ribosomal RNA", at positions 28 to 507 of the family's 1533-position model. The record is from RNAcentral.
GACGAACGCUGGCGGCGUGCUUAACACAUGCAAGUCGAACGGAAAGGCCCUGCUUUUGUGGGGUGCUCGAGUGGCGAACGGGUGAGUAACACGUGAGUAACCUGCCCUUGACUUUGGGAUAACUUCAGGAAACUGGGGCUAAUACCGGAUAGGAGCUCCUGCUGCAUGGUGGGGGUUGGAAUGUUUCGGCGGUUGGGGAUGGACUCGCGGCUUAUCAGCUUGUUGGUGGGGUAGUGGCUUACCAAGGCUUUGACGGGUAGCCGGCCUGGGAGGGUGACCGGCCACAUUGGGACUGAGAUACGGCCCAGACUCCUACGGGAGGCAGCAGUGGGGAAUAUUGCACAAUGGGCGGAAGCCUGAUGCAGCAACGCCGCGUGCGGGAUGAAGGCCUUCGGGUUGUAAACCGCUUUCGCCUGUGACGAAGCGUGAGUGACGGUAAUGGGUAAAGAAGCACCGGCUAACUACGUG